Molecule: ribosomal RNA, 253 nt
Filed under: uncultured bacterium
Lineage: Bacteria
Description: partial 16S ribosomal RNA
Rfam family: Bacterial small subunit ribosomal RNA
Source: RNAcentral
UACGGAGGGCGCGAGCGUUGUUCGGAAUUACUGGGCGUAAAGCGCGUGUAGGCGGCCUAACAAGUCGAAUGUGAAAUCCCGGAGCUCAACUCCGGAACUGCAUACGAUACUGUUAGGCUCGAGUCCCGGAGAGGAUGGCGGAAUUUCCGGUGUAGAGGUGAAAUUCGUAGAUAUCGGAAGGAACACCAGUGGCGAAGGCGGCCGUCUGGACGGUGACUGACGCUGAGACGCGAAAGCGUGGGGAGCAAACAGG